This 253-nucleotide ribosomal RNA is filed under the name uncultured bacterium. RNAcentral describes it as "partial 16S ribosomal RNA". It matches the Rfam family "Bacterial small subunit ribosomal RNA", at positions 524 to 776 of the family's 1533-position model. The record is from RNAcentral.
GACGGGGGGGGCAAGUGUUCUUCGGAAUUACUGGGCGUAAAGUGUGCGCAGGUGGCCGCGCAAGUCGAGUGUGAAAUCCCCGAGCUUAACUUGGGAAUUGCGCUCGAAACUACGUGGCUCGAGUGUGGCAGAGGAAGGUGGAAUUCCACGUGUAGCGGUGAAAUGCGCAGAUAUCGGGAGGAACACCUAUGGCGAAGGCAGCUCGCUGGGACGUUACUGACGCUGAGACGCGAAAGCGUGGGGAGCAAACAGG